Molecule: non-coding RNA, 70 nt
Organism: Ixodes scapularis (black-legged tick)
Lineage: Eukaryota; Metazoa; Arthropoda; Arachnida; Ixodida; Ixodidae
Source: Rfam
GCAGUCGUGGCGUCCGGCACUCGAAAUCCAUUGGGGUCUCCCCGCACAGGUUCGAAUCCUGUCGACUGCG